This is an RNA transcript of Corapipo altera (White-ruffed manakin), 1241 nucleotides long. It is a transcript of the gene named transmembrane 6 superfamily member 2, with no coding region annotated. The record is from RefSeq and is a predicted model, not a curated record. Lineage: Eukaryota; Metazoa; Chordata; Aves; Passeriformes; Pipridae. The transcript is spliced from 11 exons.
GCGGCGGGGCCGGGGAUGCAGCUCCCGGCGGGGCCGGGCGCCCUGGCCGCCCCCCUGCUCUCCAUCCCCGUGGCCUUCGGCAUCACCGGCGCCACCGCCCUGGCGGACAACCCCCCACUGCUGGUGCUGACGGUGACGCUGGUGCUCCUCGGCCUCUUCUCCAUCAUCCUCCUCGUCAGCGGCGUGAGCCACUUCCAGGACCCCCUGUUCUGUGUGUUCGUGGUGCUCUCCUUCGUCUCUGGCGUCGACCUCAUCAUCGCCCUGGAGGAGGAUGGGUUCAUCUCUGGCUUCAUGGAGGUCUAUGUCAGAGAGGGCGAGCCCUACCUGCGCACGGCCCAUGGGAUCAUGAUCUGUUACUGGGAUGGCGUCGUCCACUACGGGCUCUACCUCACCAUGGUCGCGGCCAUCGGCCACAGGAAGAACUACAGGAACCUGGGGCUCUUCUGGUUGGGCUCGCUGCUGAUGAGCGUCGUGGUCUUCCUGCUGGGGAACAUGAUCGGGAAAUACAGCUCCGAGCUCAGCCCCUCCUUCCUGCUCAACCUGCCCUACAUCCUCCUCCUCCUCUGGGCCGGGGUGAGGCUGUUCCAGCAGCCCAAGGAGCCGCUGCUCCUCAGCCCCGAGAAGGUGGCGGAGGAGCAGCGCAAACCCCUGUACCGGCGGCCCCAGGACGCGGCCCUGGUGCUGGUGCUGCUGCUCAUGGCCUCGUUCACCUUCUUCAGGGGGAUGGUGGUUCUGGACUGUCCUGCCGACUCGUGCUUUGAGUACAUCUACCAGCACGAGCCGUACCUGCGCGACCCCGUCGCCUACCCCAAAGUGCAGAUGCUGAUCUACAUGUUCUACGCCCUCCCUUUCUUCCUGCUCUGCAUCUACGGGCUGGUGCUGCCCGGCUGCUCCUGGCUGCCCGACUGGAGCCUGGUGUUUGCCGGGGCCGUGGCACAGGCUCAGUUCUCCCACCUGGGCUCGUCGCUGCACGCCCGGACCCCCUUCCCCUACCAGACCCCCGACGACGUCCUGUGGAGCUUCCUCCUCUCCAACAUCCUCUACGCGCUGGGCCCGCAGCUCCUGGUGCUCCGCUGCCUGCGCUGCCCCGCCUUCUUCCUGCCCCCCGCUCCUGCCGGCCAGCUCCGGGCAAAGAAACACCAGUGACGGGGCCUGCCCGGCCCGGGGGGCUGCUGUGCCCACCCUGGGGGCUGCUCUGCCCACCCUGGGGGCUGCUGUGCCCACCUUGGGGACUGCUCUGC